Non-coding RNA from Orycteropus afer afer, 73 nucleotides. The record is from the annotation of a RefSeq genome assembly. NCBI's taxonomy places the organism in Eukaryota, Metazoa, Chordata, Mammalia, Tubulidentata, Orycteropodidae.
GACCAUGUGGCCUAGUGGAUAAGGCGUCUGACUUUGGACCAGAAGAUUGAGGGUUUGAAUCCCUCCGUGGUUG